RNA transcript from Cercocebus atys (sooty mangabey), 1146 nucleotides. It is a transcript of the gene named 26S proteasome non-ATPase regulatory subunit 8 pseudogene, with no coding region annotated. The transcript is spliced from 2 exons. NCBI's taxonomy places the organism in Eukaryota, Metazoa, Chordata, Mammalia, Primates, Cercopithecidae. The record is from RefSeq and is a predicted model, not a curated record.
AUGGAUUCAAUAAACUGUAAAGGGAUGUCAGGGGAGGUAAACGGUGCAGCCGGCGCCGUGAGCUCCGGGCCCAUGGCAACCUAGGGCCCUGUCCUGCAGGCUGCAGAUGGCAAGUACAAGCAACUCAAGGGUGAGUGGAACCAUAAAAGCCCCAACCUUAGCAAGUGCAGGGAAGGGCUGGGCCGCCUCAAGCUAGUUCUUCUGGAGCUCAAAUUCUUGCCAACCACAGGGACCAGGCUGACCAAACAGCAGCUCAUUCUAGCCCGUGACAUACUGGAGAUCGGGGCCAGUGGAGCAUCCUAUGCAAGGACAUCCCCUCCUUCAAGCGCCACAUGGCCCAGCCCAAAUGGUGCUACUUUGAUUACAAGGAACAGCUUCCCGAGUCAGCCUACAUGCACCAGCUCUUGGGCCUCAACCUCCUCUUCCUGCUGUCCCAGAAGCAGGUGGCUGAGUUCCACAUGGAGUUGGAGUGGCUGCCUGCCAAGGACAUCCAGACCAAUGUCUACAUCAAACACCCUGUGCCGCUGGAGCAAUACCUGAUGGAGGGCAGCUACAACAAAGUGUUCCUGGCCAAGGGUAACAUCCCCGCCGAGAGCUACACCUUCUUCAUCGACAUCCUGCUUAACACUAUCAGGGAUGAGCUCGCCGGGUGCAUUGAGAAAGCCUAUGAGAAAAUCCCUUUCACCGAGGCCACCAGAUCCUUUUCUUCAACACACCCAAAAAGACGACCGACUACACCAAGAAGUGAGGGUGGGUCCUGGGUCCCAACAACUAAUAUAGUUUUGCCAGCCAGCAACAGGAGUCAGAAGACAUUACCAUUCCCUCCACAGAACUGGCCAAACAGGUCACCGAGUAUGCCCGGCAGCCGAAGAUGAUCAUCUGAGCCCACCAGGCACGGGGUGGGGCAGGGCACACAUUAUUUAAAACAGUUACAGUGCAAGGUUUCCUCCAAUAAAGGUGGAUUGACCUUCUCUAAAAAAAUAAGUAAAAUAAAAUAUUGGAAUGGGAAGGAUGUUAUUAAGUAUGACACAAAACCCAGAAGCUAUAAAAAAGACUGGUAAAUUCAAUUACAGUUGGAAAAAAAAGUCUACAGCCAGGCACAGUGGCUCACACCUGUAAUCCCAGCACUUUGGGAGGCCAAGGAGG